CAUUGCUUGAGCAGCUCGGCUUGAUUGUAGCCAAGGAUUGGUUCGGCAUAGGGCGAGGAAGUGGCAUGGGAUAGGCAAUUGUUUGGGCUGCCACGUCUGGGCUACCGGCUGAAAAUGAGGAAAUUGCUUGAGUUUAAUUUUUCAACAUUUGUUGCUUAAUUAAUCUUCAAGCAUUCGAUCUUUUGAACUAUGUGGCUUUCUUGCACUGGAGAGCUUACCCAGAUAGGUGUCAGGGAUUUAGUUUACCCUCUCGCACUGGAGAGCAAUUAGUUUACACUUUCGCACUGGAAAACAAUUAGUUUACCCUAUCGCACUAGAGAACAAUUAGUUUAUCUUCUUGCAUUGGAGAUCAAUUAGUUUACCCUCUCGCACUGGAGAGCAAACCAAUAUAGGUGUCGGGGAAUUGGUUUACCCUCUCGCAUUGGAGAUCAAUUAGUUUAUCCUCUCGCAUUGGAGAGCAAACCCAUAUGGGUGUCAGGGAAUUGGUUUACCUUCUCGCACUGGAAAGCAAUUAGUUUAUCCUCUCGCACUGGAGAGCAUACCCUUUGGGGUGUCGGGGAAUUGGUUUACCCUCUCGCACUAGAGAACAAUAGUUUAUCCUCUCGCACUGGAGAUGAUACCCUUUUGGGUGUUAAGGAAUUGGUUUACCCUAUCGCACUGGAGAGCAAUUAGUUUAUCCUCUCACACUAGAGAGCAGACCCUUUUGGGUGUCGAGGAAUUGGUUUACCCUCUUGCACUGCAGAGCAAUUAGUUUAUCCUUUCGCACCGGAGAGUAUACCCUUUUGAGGCUUAGUUGGCGCGAGAAAUUGUGCAAUCGCUUGGUCAGGAGCCUUUAUACUUCUUCCUAAAUUUUUCUUUGUUGGGGUGGCAGAGCUCUCGACUACCCUUGAUCGUGAUGUGCUGGUUUAAGCUGUUAUUCCAUAUGUUGGGCUCGUUUAUGCCGUGGCUGCGGUGGAUGUAGUA
This 963-nucleotide long non-coding RNA is filed under the name Malus domestica (apple). RNAcentral describes it as "long non-coding RNA (MDOM_LNC016071)". Lineage: Eukaryota; Viridiplantae; Streptophyta; Magnoliopsida; Rosales; Rosaceae. The record is from RNAcentral.